RNAcentral lists this ribosomal RNA (446 nucleotides) under uncultured bacterium. RNAcentral describes it as "partial 16S ribosomal RNA". It matches the Rfam family "Bacterial small subunit ribosomal RNA", at positions 338 to 795 of the family's 1533-position model. The record is from RNAcentral.
CCUACGGGUGGCAGCAGUCGAGAAUCAUUCACAAUGGGGGAAACCCUGAUGGUGCGACGCCGCGUGGGGGAAUGAAGGUCUUCGGUUUGUAAACCCCUGUCAUGGGGGGGCAAAUAAAAAAGAUAGUACCACAGGAGGAAGAGACGGCUAACUCGGUGCCAGCAGCCGCGGUAAUACAAAGGUCCCAAGCGUGUUUCGGAAUCACGGGGCGUAAGGGGUGCGUAGGCGGUUUCGUAAGUCGUGUGUGAAAGGCUCGGGCGCAACCCGCGGACGGCACAUGAUACUGCGAGACUAGAGUAAUGGAGGGGGAACCGGAAUUCUCGGUGUAGCAGUGAAAUGCGUAGAGAUCGAGAGGAACACUCGUGGCGAAGGCGGGUUCCUGGACAUUAACUGACGCUGAGGCACGAAGGCCAGGGGAGCGAAAGGGAUUAGAUACCCUUGUAGUC